This 123-nucleotide ribosomal RNA is filed under the name Channa striata (snakehead murrel). RNAcentral describes it as "partial 28S ribosomal RNA". Lineage: Eukaryota; Metazoa; Chordata; Actinopteri; Anabantiformes; Channidae. The record is from RNAcentral.
GGGAUCCCGGCCCCGCCGAGGGUCGGGCGCACCACCGGCCCGUCUCGCCCGCACCGUCGGGGAGGUGGAGCGUGAGCGCGUGCGAUAGGACCCGAAAGAUGGUGAACUAUGCCUGGGCAGGGC